CUUUCCUUUUUUUUUUUUUUUUUAAGAUUUUAUUUAUUUUAGAGACAGGGAAAGUAAGAGAGAGAGAGAGAGAGAACAUAAGCAGGAGGAGCAGCAGAGGGAGAAGGAGGAGCAGACUCCUGGGAUCAUGACCUGAGUUGAUGGCAGACGCUUGACUGAGACACCCAGGUGCCCCAGCACAGAGUUUUCUGAGAUGCAUCCCAACCCUUGACAUUGUUUGACUCAAGCCUUGGUUUUGAUGACUUUCUUGUAUGUGAUUCCCUUUACUCAUUAGCACAUCUCUUCUGAUAUAAUCCUGGUAUUAAUCUUCCCGGUUUUUAUUAACUCAGCUCCUGUUGAAACAUCCUGACCUUUCCCUUCUGCCCCAGCCCAGAGAUAAGGGCAGGAGAAUUUGUCAUCAAGCACCCCUCCAACCUCAUGAUAUAAAUAGAGGAGACUGGAGGGAAGGGUGUGUCAGAGCCUGCCAGGAGACAGAGUUAUACCACUUGGUAUAUCAAAAGAUAUUAAGAAGUGAUAAUUAGAUGUUUAAGUAAUGAAAAGAUGCAAAGGAAAUACUAAGGUAUAAAAGAGAAGUAGCAAAUGCAAGAUGCAGCUGUGACUCCUAGAUUUUGGGUAGAAACUUGGAAAAGCUUGAAUUUCUACCGGUGGGAAUGGAACUCUCCAGACUAACUGGAGACCAGGCUUGUGGACAGUGCAUGCCCAGGGGGUCACCAACAUUGAUUAGGAUGGAGAACAUCCAGAGAAGGAAAAUCAAUUAAAAGCUUCUAGAGGAGCCACUUGUUUUGAACAAUUUAGCAAUCCAGAAAAUAGCAUAUAAAUGUAUUUAAUACUUAGACUGCACAGAUAAUCUAAGAAUAUUGAGGAAAAUAAAUGUAUAUGAAUGGCCUUCUAAGACUUUAACACACAAGUUUCUUUCUAAAAUAAAAUAUUAGGUUCCUUUUUUCUUAUGGUAAAUGUGAGUGAUAUUUUAAUUAAAUUAACUAUAUUGAAUGAACCUACAAUGCCAUAUGGAUGCAUGUAAUUAAUACAAUAAAUAUAAACAUUUUAGGGCAUCAUUUUUUCAGUAUAUAAGAUAAGUGAAAAGAGAUACAGGAACUUACUAUGAUUCACUAAAAACAUAUAGCAAAAGGGUGAAGUGUAUGUGUUAUACAAAUUUCUAAAUGUAGAAUCACAUCCUAGUAAUGUGAAUAUCAUUAGAGAUUCUAGCUUGAAACUCUCUUUGUCAGAAUCCUAAAUCUUAUACAUAUGAUACAUACAAUAUGUUAGCUAAACUGAACAAAAUCUUCAAACUCUGUUACUAUCAAAUUCUUGUUUGGAGAUGAUUUCAGUAAUUGAGGUGCCUUUUUUUCCUACCUAUAAACCUCCACUCUUCUUCUGGCCUAUUUAGAUACACUACCCGUGUUUCUUGUCAUCAUGGUCCCAUUGGGGUUUACUGCCUGCUGUUUCCCAAAGGGCAGCUCUAGGCAGUGUUAUCAGGUAGGCAAAGUAUGUCAACAGUGUUAUAAUUGAGUGAAGCUGUUUAGAUUCUUCCAGCAUUUCCAGUGAGUUUAUUGAACUAAUGCAUGUUCAUUGUUUGCAUUUGAGAGAGUACAGAUUAUUUCAAUUCAUUCAAUAAUGAAUUUUCUACAUACCACUAAAGCCUUUAUUUAAAGAAUUAUAAAGAAAAGAUUUUGUGUACAUAUUCAUGAGAGACCCAGAGAGAGAGGCAGAGACCAUAGGUAGAGGGAGAAGCAGGCUCUCUGUAGGGAGCCCGAUAUGGGACUUGAUCCCAGGACCCCUUGAUAACGACCUGAGCCAAAGGCAGACGCUCAACCACCGAGCCACCCAGAUGCCCCCAUUAAAGCCAUUUUAGGGUAAGGUAUAAGACCUAAAUUUUUUUCUGAACUUGGAAACAUUUCUUAUGUAAAUUCGUUCAGAUUCCCCAGUACUUUUCAUCAGGAUAAGCUGAUUUUCAAGACCUUCUCUUAGUGGUGACUAUUUUUGAUUCCAAGAGAUGAUAGGAUGCAGAGAAACUUUAUUAAACUCAGUGAUAAAGCACCACAGAGUAUUUACUCCUUACCCUUGACCUCACAUCUCAGUCUACACUGUCCAGUUCUACAUGUCUAUAUUCAGUCUGUGUCAUGGAUACUGGAAGCACAAAAUGGAAUAGACAUAUUUCUAAACUUGUGGAUCUUUGAGGAGGAGGAAGAUGUUCUGGCCAGGGGAGACAGGUGACAUCCUCCUACCCAGCAUUCAGCACACCCUAACCCAGGCAGGGGAAACCAGGAAGAUAUACAGCAGAACUUUUCAAUUCGUAGUUGUAAAUAUUAGAAAAUAGUGUUAUGGGAACAGAUAGCAGGGACGAUUGGCAAGCCGAUUUGGAGAUG
Molecule: long non-coding RNA, 2366 nt
Filed under: Canis lupus familiaris (dog)
Lineage: Eukaryota; Metazoa; Chordata; Mammalia; Carnivora; Canidae
Description: lncRNA (ENSCAFG00000054299.1)
Source: RNAcentral